This 406-nucleotide ribosomal RNA is filed under the name uncultured bacterium. Its description in RNAcentral is "partial 16S ribosomal RNA". It matches the Rfam family "Bacterial small subunit ribosomal RNA", at positions 30 to 526 of the family's 1533-position model. The record is from RNAcentral.
AUUGAACGCUGGCGGCAGGCCUAACACAUGCAAGUCGAACGAGUGGCGGACGGGUGAGCAAUGUAUGGGAAACUGCCUGAUGGAGGGGGAUAACUACUGGAAACGGUAGCUAAUACCGCAUACCAUCAGAUGUGCCCAUAUGGGUUUAGCUAGCUGGUGGGGUAACGGUUCACCAAGGCGACGAUCCCUAGCUGGUCUGAGAGGAUGACCAGCCACACUGGAACUGAGACACGGUCCAGACUCCUACGGGAGGCAGCAGUGGGGAAUAUUGCACAAUGGGCGCAAGCCUGAUGCAGCCAUGCCGCGUGUAUGAAGAAGGCCGUCGGGUUGUAAAGUACUUUCAGCGGGGAGGCGUUACUCGCAGAAGAAGCACCGGCUAACUCCGUGCCAGCAGCCGCGGUAAUUC